RNAcentral lists this ribosomal RNA (536 nucleotides) under Wenzhouxiangella sp. RNAcentral's name for it is "partial 23S ribosomal RNA". It matches the Rfam family "Bacterial large subunit ribosomal RNA", at positions 2037 to 2580 of the family's 2925-position model. The record is from RNAcentral. Lineage: Bacteria; Pseudomonadati; Pseudomonadota; Gammaproteobacteria; Chromatiales; Wenzhouxiangellaceae.
UGAAACUGAAUUGUCUGUGAAGAUGCAGACUAUUUGCGGUAAGACGGAAAGACCCCGUGCACCUUUACUACAUUUUUACAUUGUUGAGAGAAAAAAUAUGUGUAGAAAUAGGUGGGAGCUUAAGAGAAAAUUUUUAUUAAAAAUUUUCGAAGCGUUAGUGAAAUACCACUCUUAUUUUUUCUUGCAACUAAUCUUUUAUUAAAAGAGACAGUGUAAACUUGGUAGUUUGACUGGGGCGGUCUCCUCCUAAAGAGUAACGGGGGAGUACACAAGGUCAACUCAAAUUGGAUUAACCAAUUGAAGAGCGUAAUGGUAAAAGUUGGCCUGACUACAAGACUUACAAGUCGAGUAGGAACGUAAGUUUGUCAUAGUGAUCCGGUGAUUUUGUGUGGAAAAGUCAUCGCUCAACGGAUAAAAGGUACGCCGGGGAUAACAGGCUAAUGAUUCCUAAGAGUCCUUAUCGACGGAAUCGUUUGGCACCUCGAUGUCGGCUCAUCAUUUCCUGGAGCUGAAGAAGGUUCCAAGGGUUCGGCUGU